Molecule: long non-coding RNA, 208 nt
Filed under: Populus trichocarpa (black cottonwood)
Lineage: Eukaryota; Viridiplantae; Streptophyta; Magnoliopsida; Malpighiales; Salicaceae
Description: long non-coding RNA (PTRI_LNC003304)
Source: RNAcentral
GAAGCGAGACCUUAACACCCUCCUCCCUCCAUCGUCCACUUGAAAACAGAUGAUGAGUGUUUUAAUUAGUUGAAGAGUUCUUCCAACCACAUUUGUGAUAAGUCCACAUGCUCUUAAUUGGGAGAAUAUGGUCUCAGCCAAUUAACCAAGGUCUUCUACUUAGUCAACUCCGACCCUCCUCCCUCCAUCAUCCACUUGAAAACAGAUG